GACGAACGCUGGCGGCGUGCUUAACACAUGCAAGUCGAACGGAAAGGCCCUGCUUUUGUGGGGUGCUCGAGUGGCGAACGGGUGAGUAACACGUGAGUAACCUGCACUUGACUUUGGGAUAACUUCAGGAAACUGGGGCUAAUACCGGAUAGGAGCUCCUGCUGCACGGUGGGGGUUGGAAAGUUUCGGCGGUUGGGGCUGGACUCGCGGCUUAUCAGCUUGUUGGUGGGGUAGUGGCUUACCAAGGCUUUGACGGGUAGCCGGCCUGAGAGGGUGACCGGCCACAAUGGGACUACGAUACGGCCCAGACUCCUACGGGAGGCAGCAGGGGGGAAUUUUGCACAAUAGGCGGAAGCCUGAUGCAGCAACGCCGCGUGCGUGAUGACCGCCUUCGGGUGAUAAACCGCUUUCGCCUGUGACGAAGCGUGAGUGACGGUAAUGGGUAAAAAAGCACCGGCUAACUACGUG
RNAcentral lists this ribosomal RNA (468 nucleotides) under uncultured bacterium. Its description in RNAcentral is "partial 16S ribosomal RNA". It matches the Rfam family "Bacterial small subunit ribosomal RNA", at positions 28 to 507 of the family's 1533-position model. The record is from RNAcentral.